Molecule: ribosomal RNA, 535 nt
Filed under: Agrococcus baldri
Lineage: Bacteria; Bacillati; Actinomycetota; Actinomycetes; Micrococcales; Microbacteriaceae
Description: bacterial SSU rRNA
Rfam family: Bacterial small subunit ribosomal RNA
Source: RNAcentral
GGGCGCAAGCCUGAUGCAGCAACGCCGCGUGAGGGACGACGGCCUUCGGGUUGUAAACCUCUUUUAGCAGGGAAGAAGCGAAAGUGACGGUACCUGCAGAAAAAGCACCGGCUAACUACGUGCCAGCAGCCGCGGUAAUACGUAGGGUGCAAGCGUUGUCCGGAAUUAUUGGGCGUAAAGAGCUCGUAGGCGGUCUGUCACGUCUGCUGUGAAAACCCGAGGCUCAACCUCGGGCUUGCAGUGGGUACGGGCAGACUAGAGUGCGGUAGGGGAGAUUGGAAUUCCUGGUGUAGCGGUGGAAUGCGCAGAUAUCAGGAGGAACACCGAUGGCGAAGGCAGAUCUCUGGGCCGUAACUGACGCUGAGGAGCGAAAGCAUGGGGAGCAAACAGGCUUAGAUACCCUGGUAGUCCAUGCCGUAAACGUUGGGAACUAGAUGUGGGGACCAUUCCACGGUCUCCGUGUCGUAGCUAACGCAUUAAGUUCCCCGCCUGGGGAGUACGGCCGCAAGGCUAAAACUCAAAUGAAUUGACGGGG